AGAGUUUGAUCCUGGCUCAGGACGAACGCUGGCGGCGUGCCUAACACAUGCAAGUCGAGCGAUGAAGCUCCUUCGGGAGUGGAUUAGCGGCGGACGGGUGAGUAACACGUGGGCAACCUGCCUCAAAGUGGGGAAUAGCCCUCCGAAAGGAGGAUUAAUACCUCAUAAUAUGAAGGAAUCGCACGGUACCUUCAUUAAAGAUUUAUUGCUUUGAGAUGGGCCCGCGGCGCAUUAGCUAGUUGGUGAGGUAACGGCUCACCAAGGCGACGAUGCGUAGCCGACCUGAGAGGGUGAUCGGCCACAUUGGAACUGAGACACGGUCCAGACUCCUACGGGAGGCAGCAGUGGGGAAUAUUGCGCAAUGGGGGGAACCCUGACGCAGCAACGCCGCGUGAGUGAUGAAGGUCUUCGGAUUGUAAAACUCUGUCUUCAGGGACGAUAAUGACGGUACCUGAGGAGGAAGCCACGGCUAACUACGUGCCAGCAGCCGCGGUAAUACGUAGGUGGCAAGCGUUGUCCGGAUUUACUGGGCGUAAAGAGUAUGUAGGCGGAUAUUUAAGUCAGAUGUGAAAUUCCCGGGCUUAACCUGGGAGCUGCAUUUGAUACUGGAUAUCUAGAGUGCAGGAGAGGAAAGUGGAAUUCCUAGUGUAGCGGUGAAAUGCGUAGAGAUUAGGAAGAACACCAGUGGCGAAGGCGACUUUCUGGACUGAAACUGACGCUGAGGCACGAAAGCGUGGGGAGCGAACAGGAUUAGAUACCCUGGUAGUCCACGCCGUAAACGAUGAGUGCUAGGUGUCGGAGGGGAACCUUCGGUGCCGCAGCAAACGCAAUAAGCACUCCACCUGGGGAGUACGAUCGCAAGAUUGAAACUCAAAGGAAUUGACGG
Molecule: ribosomal RNA, 886 nt
Filed under: uncultured bacterium
Lineage: Bacteria
Description: bacterial SSU rRNA
Rfam family: Bacterial small subunit ribosomal RNA
Source: RNAcentral